AGAGUUUGAUUCUGGCUCAGGAUGAACGCUGGCGGCGUGCCUAAUACAUGCAAGUCGAGCGAACCACUUCGGUGGGAAGCGGCGAACGGGUGAGUAACACGUAGGUGAUCUGCCCAUCAGACGGGGACAACGAUUGGAAACGAUCGCUAAUACCGGAUAGGACGAAAGUUUAAAGAUGCUCCUGGCAUCACUGAUGGAUGAGCCUGCGGCGCAUUAGCUAGUUGGUGGGGUAAAGGCCUACCAAGGCGACGAUGCGUAGCCGACCUGAGAGGGUGAACGGCCACACUGGGACUGAGACACGGCCCAGACUCCUACGGGAGGCAGCAGUAGGGAAUCUUCGGCAAUGGGCGAAAGCCUGACCGAGCAACGCCGCGUGAAUGAAGAAGGCCUUCGGGUUGUAAAAUUCUGUUAUAAGGGAAGAAAGGUGAUAGGAGGAAAUGACUAUCAAUUGACGGUACCUUAUGAGAAAGCCACGGCUAACUACGUGCCAGCAGCCGCGGUAAUACGUAGGUGGCAAGCGUUAUCCGGAAUUAUUGGGCGUA
RNAcentral lists this ribosomal RNA (542 nucleotides) under uncultured bacterium. RNAcentral describes it as "bacterial SSU rRNA". It matches the Rfam family "Bacterial small subunit ribosomal RNA", at positions 8 to 562 of the family's 1533-position model. The record is from RNAcentral.